RNAcentral lists this ribosomal RNA (109 nucleotides) under uncultured eukaryote. Its description in RNAcentral is "partial small subunit ribosomal RNA". It matches the Rfam family "Eukaryotic small subunit ribosomal RNA", at positions 1675 to 1785 of the family's 1831-position model. The record is from RNAcentral.
GUCGCACCUACCGAUUGAGCGGCUCGGUGAGGGGUCCGGAUUGUUUUUAGCUCCUUUACUAGGGUCAAAAACAAAAAGUUCUCCAAACCUCGUCGCUUAGAGGAAGGUG